GACGAACGCUGGCGGCGUGCCUAAUACAUGCAAGUAGACGCUGAAGAGAGGAGCUUGCUCUUCUUGGAUGAGUUGCGAACGGGUGAGUUACGCGUAGGUAACCUGCCUUGUAGCGGGGGAUAACUAUUGGAAACGAUAGCUGAUACCGCUUAACAAUGGAUGACCCAUGUCAUUUAUUUGAAAGGGGCAAAUGCUCCACUACAAGAUGGACCUGCGUUGUAUUAGCUAGUAGGUGAGGUAACGGCUCACCUAGGCGACGAUACAUAGCCGACCUGAGAGGGUGAUCGGCCACACUGGGACUGAGACACGGCCCAGACUCCUACGGGAGGCAGCAGUAGGGAAUCUUCGGCAAUGGGGGCAACCCUGACCGAGCAACGCCGCGUGAGUGAAGAAGGUUUUCGGAUCGUAAAGCUCUGUUGUAAGUCAAGACAGAGUGUGAGAGUGGAAAGUGUCCACACUGAACAGGUCGAUCUCU
RNAcentral lists this ribosomal RNA (475 nucleotides) under Streptococcus salivarius. RNAcentral describes it as "bacterial SSU rRNA". It matches the Rfam family "Bacterial small subunit ribosomal RNA", at positions 28 to 480 of the family's 1533-position model. The record is from RNAcentral. Lineage: Bacteria; Bacillati; Bacillota; Bacilli; Lactobacillales; Streptococcaceae.